Long non-coding RNA from Mus musculus (house mouse), 874 nucleotides. RefSeq annotates it as predicted gene, 41753. The record is from RefSeq and is a predicted model, not a curated record. The transcript has 2 exons. NCBI's taxonomy places the organism in Eukaryota, Metazoa, Chordata, Mammalia, Rodentia, Muridae.
UACUCGAAAUGAUCUGAAGGAUCAGAUCAGCCUUGGCCUGAGAGUUUGAGCUGGUACACGGAUGGCAGUAGCCUCACGGUUAAAGGUAAGCAUGACUACCACACCUCACUGGAGCUUUUCCUUACAGAAAAUGGAAACGAUCGCAGAAAACCACAACCGGACAUAAUGCAGAGAUCAAUGGAUCAUGGGGAGCCAGCCCCAGUGGAUAUAGCUACACCACAGCUCCUGCAUCUCUGGCCAAUGGAGCAUUGUGGAAGAGAGGGGCAUAAGGAAUCUAAGAGCCUGAAUGACAGAUGUCUGCUGUGAAGCACUGUUCUAUAAAUGUCUAUAUAAACAAGAUAGGGACAAGAGCAAAAAACAAUGGAUCUAUUAAUGUAGAAGGAGAAAAAACUUCUCAGGGUCUAACACCUAGGCAAAAACCUACCAGCAACAAUUGACUUCUGGGAGAAAGAGGCUUAGCCUCUCCCAGAGAUGAGCCUUUUUCCUCCUAUUGGUUGUCUGAUGCUGAGUUGUUGUCAGCCUCAAAAUCGUAUAUGCAAAAAUAGCAAAAAUGGACUCAGUGGAUUGUAAAUAAAUUGGAUAUAUUUGUGCACACACAAAGUGUGCAAUAAAUAAAAGAAAAUGAGGUUAGCAGUUUGAGAUUGGAGAUUCAUGGAAGAAGUUUGAGGGAGGGAAACUGGGGGGGGGGCGUGCAGAGGGAGGAAAGGGCCAAGAAAGUGGUGCAAUUCUACUUCAAUUAAAAUAUUUUAAAAAUAAAAUAUUUAAUCAAUUUUCACAAUUAAAAUAUCAUGUAAUGAACUUAUACCUUAUGUCCAACUUCCUUGUGACAUUUCUAUGAUUAAAGAUCCCUUUGAUCAAUGUGUCUCAAUGUUAA